CCUGAUCCCAUUCCGAACUCAGAAGUGAAACGAAAUAGCGCCGAUGGUAGUGUGGGGUUUCCCCAUGUGAGAGUAGGACAUCGCCAGGC
This 89-nucleotide ribosomal RNA is filed under the name Vibrio parahaemolyticus. RNAcentral also lists the same sequence under 1 other name. Lineage: Bacteria; Pseudomonadati; Pseudomonadota; Gammaproteobacteria; Vibrionales; Vibrionaceae. The record is from RNAcentral.